Molecule: long non-coding RNA, 1260 nt
Filed under: Pectinophora gossypiella (pink bollworm)
Lineage: Eukaryota; Metazoa; Arthropoda; Insecta; Lepidoptera; Gelechiidae
Description: uncharacterized LOC126377650
Source: RNAcentral
UGUAACGAAGCAUUUCGGACCAACGAGCCUUGUAGCGACAUCUUGUGGUUUCUGACGAUAUAACGUUGUUUUUAUAUUUUACCCGCAGGAAAUCACAGAUGGCGCUGCAGGGUUAUCGAUGGGCCCGAAUAUUUUUGAUUAUUUUAUUUUCUUCUAAAUUAUUAUAUUAAAAUUAUCUGCAACAUUUAUUUUUGAUAUAUUAUAAUUAUAUUGUUUAAAUUUUGGGAUCAAACAAGUCGAUCGAUUGUUGUCGUUGAUUCGGCGAAUUUAUGGUUUGGUAGAUUUUUUCUAGUUUGGCAACUUUGUUCGUGGUUCUUGUGUCAGACUGACAGCUGGCUGAGCUGAGAGACAGGUUAUGGAAAGUGGGGACGUCGCGAGAGCGCCGGAGACUCCACUGCCGUAACAAUAAUGUGGGCAAAUUAAAAGCCACGAUUUAUCGGCGACAUCAAGAGCCGAUGUCUCGAUUUAAAUAAACAACUUAACCGAGAUGGUGAGUCCUCGCAAUUCUUCGUGCAUAUUUUUGCACCAACUUUGUGAUAACCUCGAGGUCCUUGUUUUCAGCAACAUCACUGAAAUCCCAUCGCCUAAGGUCCAGUGGGUGGGUUUAGGUUUCAUCCGAGCGAUGCCCAACUAUCCCGGAUGAACCUAUGGGUUUUUUUUUUCUUUAAGUUUUGAACGUUUUAAUUUUCUAACGUUUUGCAAGUCUUAAUGUAAGAAGAAGUUUAUAAUUGGAUCAGAUGUUUUGUGAAUGAAGAUUCCUACUGUUUUCUUCUGCAUUUGAGAGUUAUUUCAAGCUUCAUUUCGGCGGAGCUUGCCUUGGUUGUUUGCACGUCGAAGCUUUCCUUUGUGCGGCGCGCAUGUGGAUGUGCCGCGCCUCUCCUUUUGCCAACACUCCGGAUAAGGCUCGGUGAAGGACUGCGAGGUUGACCGGUGGACGUGCAGCCCGCCAGCUGCGGAACAGUAGGCCCGCUGCGCCGCCAUCGUCCAGCACGCCCUGGCCUGAGCCGGCCUCAACUCAUCACCUGUACGGUAUUCCAGAACGCCUCAGGUAGGCCUGAUAGUCGGAGGUCCUCGAGUAAGUGAGGUGCCUACAGGUGUACGGACAGUGUUUUUAAACAUAGUGUUAUCCCAUGGUUGUUACGGAGUGACAAUUAACCUGACGGACCAAAGCGCGACCUGUCUCCCUCCAUAGGGUUUUUACCUGCCCAUGGUUGUACUGUAAUAAUUAUAACUGUAAAAUAUACAUUGUACAAAUUCAAA